AUUGAACGCUGGCGGCAGGCUUAACACAUGCAAGUCGAGCGGAGCGAGGGUGCUUGCACCUUAGCUUAGCGGCGGACGGGUGAGUAAUGCUUAGGAAUCUGCCUAUUAGUGGGGGACAACAUUCCGAAAGGAAUGCUAAUACCGCAUACGCCCUACGGGGGAAAGCAGGGGAUCUUCGGACCUUGCGCUAAUAGAUGAGCCUAAGUGGGAUUAGCUAGUUGGUGGGGUAAAGGCCUACCAAGGCGACGAUCUGUCGCGGGUCUGAGAGGAUGAUCCGCCACACUGGGACGGAGACACGGCCCAGACUCCUACGGGAGGCAGCAGUGGGGAAUAUUGGACAAUGGGCGGAAGCCUGAUCCAGCCAUGCCGCGUGUGUGAAGAAGGCCUUUUGGUUGUAAAGCACUUUAAGCGAGGAGGAGGCUACUUAGAUUAAUACUCUGGGAUAGUGGACGUUACUCGCAGAAUAAGCACCGGCUAACUCUGUGCCAGCCGCCGCCGUAA
RNAcentral lists this ribosomal RNA (501 nucleotides) under uncultured bacterium. Its description in RNAcentral is "partial 16S ribosomal RNA". It matches the Rfam family "Bacterial small subunit ribosomal RNA", at positions 30 to 523 of the family's 1533-position model. The record is from RNAcentral.